RNAcentral lists this transfer RNA (92 nucleotides) under Peptoniphilus lacrimalis 315-B. RNAcentral's name for it is "tRNA-Ser". It matches the Rfam family "tRNA". From Rfam's summary of the family: Transfer RNA (tRNA) molecules are approximately 80 nucleotides in length. Their secondary structure includes four short double-helical elements and three loops (D, anti-codon, and T loops). The record is from RNAcentral. Lineage: Bacteria; Bacillati; Bacillota; Tissierellia; Tissierellales; Peptoniphilaceae.
UGGAGAGAUGUCCGAGAGGUUGAAGGAGCACGCCUGGAAAGCGUGUAUGCGAGCAAUCGUAUCGGGGGUUCGAAUCCCCCUCUCUCCGCCAU